GACGAACGCUGGCGGCGUGCCUAACACAUGCAAGUCGAACGACGAAGAAGAGAAACGCGAACUUUGGUUCAAGUUUCACUUCGGAUUAUUGGCAGACGGGCGAGAAAUGCGUGUGCAACCUACCUCUCACAAAGGGACAGCCUCGGGAAACCGUGAUUAAUAACAUAUGACACCUUCAUAAGGCAUCUUAAGAAUGGUAAAGCUACGGCGGUAACAGAUGGGCUGGCGUCCCAUUAGCAAGUUGGUGAGGUAACGGCCCACCAAGGGGACGAUGGGUAACAGGCGAGAGAGGGUGAGCGGUAACAUUGGAACUGAGGCACGGUCGAAAAUCCUACGGGAGGCAGCGGUGGGGAAUAUUGCCCAAUGGAGGUGACUCUGAUACACCGACGCCGUGUAAGCGAUGAAGGUAUGCGUUACGUAAAGCUCUGUUAUAUGGGAAUAAAAGGACGGUACCAAAAGAGAAAGCCCCGGCUAACUACGUG
RNAcentral lists this ribosomal RNA (482 nucleotides) under uncultured bacterium. Its description in RNAcentral is "partial 16S ribosomal RNA". It matches the Rfam family "Bacterial small subunit ribosomal RNA", at positions 28 to 507 of the family's 1533-position model. The record is from RNAcentral.